CAAUCUGUUUGAGGUUCACCAUUGAUAACAACAGCAGGCUCCCCCGGUAUCUCGAAGAUCCCUGGAGGAAGAGACGGUGGUCCUUCUUGCUUAAUGCUCCCAGUAUUCUCCAUCUUUCUUGCUUCUGCAAGAAAGAAAGCUCACAGAGUUAAGUUAACCAGCAGAAGUCAAGAUUCAAAACAUUAGCUGAAUCACUCAUCCGUUCUAUAGGUUUCAGAACCGAUGAAACGUGGUGAAACUAAGGCGAAUCAUUCAUAUAACGGUUACACGAGAAUCAGAUACAAACUUGAACACGAACGAAUCAAACUUAACUCUGGAGAUUAAGCCAGACACGUUCUUGUUUGGCAACGCGGACAACUUAAACUCUGGAUGAUCCACUCAGCAAAUUUCUGCAACAAGAACAGUUCUGCAAAGUAAGAUUCCGACUUAACCGGAUGCUCUCCUCUGCGUCAAGAGGGAACCUCAUACGGAUACCGAAGCUCUCUCCGCAAUGGUCAUCUACCAACAUCACGUGCAAAUAUCUGAGUGAGGGGACUGAUUCGACGAAGCCGUUUUGGAUAAGUAAUGUGCUGAGUAGUGGUGUCUUGGAUCAUCUUCAUCUUGAUAUUAAUGCUAAAGGUAUACAUACAAGUGUUUAAGCAAAUGGAACCUUUCCUGGAGAAAUUCCCAUGUCUUAAGCUGCUCAAAGUCUCUGCUUGCUUGGGAAAAAGAUGAAAAAGCAAGGCUGCAACUUGCCACGGAUCUGCUAAUGCUUCCCAGAGCUCACAAGCUCCAGGUAGAGUUCUUUUCCUGAUAAACUAACUAAUGCAUCAAGUGGAAAUUUUUGUCCCUCUCUUGUUGCUUAAGUUUGUUCAAACCUGAAAAUCUGUUUAAGCACUCUAUGUCUACAUUUUACUGUCGUCAUCAGGCUUGUUUCUAUUUGCGUUUUCAACAUGAAUUUGCAUUGUUGUGUUUUUUUC
Camelina sativa (false flax) is the source of this 959-nucleotide non-coding RNA. The record is from RefSeq and is a predicted model, not a curated record. NCBI's taxonomy places the organism in Eukaryota, Viridiplantae, Streptophyta, Magnoliopsida, Brassicales, Brassicaceae.